UGGUGAAUUUUGGACAAUGGGGGAAACCCUGAUCCAGCCAUCCCGCGUGUGCGAUGAAGGCCUUCGGGUUGUAAAGCACUUUUGGCAGGAAAGAAACGUCAUGGGUUAAUACCCCGUGAAACUGACGGUACCUGCAGAAUAAGCACCGGCUAACUACGUGCCAGCAGCCGCGGUAAUACGUAGGGUGCAAGCGUUAAUCGGAAUUACUGGGCGUAAAGCGUGCGCAGGCGGUUCGGAAAGAAAGAUGUGAAAUCCCAGAGCUCAACUUUGGAACUGCAUUUUUAACUACCGGGCUAGAGUGUGUCAGAGGGAGGUGGAAUUCCGCGUGUAGCAGUGAAAUGCGUAGAUAUGCGGAGGAACACCGAUGGCGAAGGCAGCCUCCUGGGAUAACACUGACGCUCAUGCACGAAAGCGUGGGGAGCAAACAGG
RNAcentral lists this ribosomal RNA (429 nucleotides) under Acidobacteriota bacterium. RNAcentral describes it as "Acidobacteria bacterium partial 16S ribosomal RNA". It matches the Rfam family "Bacterial small subunit ribosomal RNA", at positions 355 to 776 of the family's 1533-position model. Lineage: Bacteria; Pseudomonadati; Acidobacteriota. The record is from RNAcentral.